RNAcentral lists this ribosomal RNA (515 nucleotides) under Oedipina uniformis. Its description in RNAcentral is "partial 16S ribosomal RNA". It matches the Rfam family "Bacterial large subunit ribosomal RNA", at positions 1817 to 2597 of the family's 2925-position model. The record is from RNAcentral. Lineage: Eukaryota; Metazoa; Chordata; Amphibia; Caudata; Plethodontidae.
CGCCUUUUGAUAUAUAUAUAUAAAAGGUCCUGCCUGCCCAGUGACUCUGUUCAACGGCCGCGGUAUCAUGACCGUGCAAAGGUAGCGUAAUCACUUGUCUUUUAAAUAAAGACUAGUAUGAACGGCAACACGAGAGUUCAACUGUCUCACUAAAUUAGUCAGUGAAAUUAAUCUUUCCGUGCAGAAGCGGAAUUAAUGCUAUAAGACGAGAAGACCCUGUGGAGCUUUAAAUCUAAGCUAACAUAUAUAUUAUUAUAGCACACGAUUUUGGGUUGGGGCGACCAUGAGACAAAACAAACCCUCAAGACAUUAACUAGAGAGACAUCUCAACCAAAUAGUAAUACUAACACAUUGACCCAAUAAUUGAUCAACGAACCAAGUUACCCCAGGGAUAACAGCGCAAUCCACUCACAGAGCCCAUAUCGACGAGCGGGUUUACGACCUCGAUGUUGGAUCAGGACCACCUAGUGGUGCAGCAACUACUAAGGGUUCGUUUGUUCAACGAUUAAAGUCCU